UACGGAGGUGGCAAGCGUUGCUCGGAAUCACUGGGCGUAAAGGGCGCGUAGGCGGGGAGGUAAGUCGGGUGUGAAAUCCCUCGGCCCAACCGAGGAACUGCGCCCGAGACCGCUUCUCUUGAGUCCCGGAGAGGAAGAUGGAAUUCCCGGUGUAGCGGUGAAAUGUGUAGAGAUCGGGAGGAACACCGGUGGCGAAGGCGGUCUUCUGGACGGUGACUGACGCUGAGGCGCGAAAGCGUGGGGAGCAAACGGG
This 253-nucleotide ribosomal RNA is filed under the name uncultured bacterium. RNAcentral describes it as "partial 16S ribosomal RNA". It matches the Rfam family "Bacterial small subunit ribosomal RNA", at positions 524 to 776 of the family's 1533-position model. The record is from RNAcentral.